UCUGCUGGUGGGACUCUUGGAGAGCUUUCUUCUCCUUGGUCAGCUUUGCAACACUCUCCUCCACAGAAGCCAUCUCCUCUGUCAGGACACCCAGAAGUCCAGCUUUGAAGAAAACCUGAGACAGGAUGGAAGAAACCUGACGCUCACUGUAUCCCCAUGCCAGUAAAACCAAUUGCAUGGGAGGACAUGAGCCCUUGGACCACAUCUCAGGACUACCAAGCCCGAAGGACUCAUAGCUGUCCCUGUUCAAAGUCCUCCUGAUUGUA
Molecule: long non-coding RNA, 266 nt
Organism: Esox lucius (northern pike)
Lineage: Eukaryota; Metazoa; Chordata; Actinopteri; Esociformes; Esocidae
Exons: 4
Source: RefSeq, a predicted model, not a curated record